AGUAGCGGCGAGCGAAGCGGGAAGAGCCCGGUGUGAAAAUCUCUUCGGAGAAUUGUAUUUGAGUGACCUUUGGGUGGUCAGUGCGAGCAAGUUGCUUGGGAUAGCACGCCAUGGAGGGUGAGAGCCCCGUCCAUCUCGCACAGGAUCCAUCCGCACAAGGUCGCUUCAACCGAGUCGGGUAGCUUGGGAAUGCUGCUCUAAAUGGUGGUAAAUCUCAUCAAAGGCUAAAUAACGGUGGGAGACCGAUAGCGAACAAGUACCGUGAGGGAAAGAUGGAAAGAACUUUGAAAAGAGAGUGAAAAGAACUUGAAACCGUCACGGGGGAAGCGGAUUGCGUGAGUGGUGGUGUCGCUUGUUCAGCGCAUUUUGCGUGCAUUCUGGCGAUACCUUGUCGUCGUGGCUGGUUGGUACGUGAUGUUGACGUACUGGCUGGUGAGGGCUCCCUUCGGGUGAGGACGACGACAAAAUGACGCAAUACGACCCGUCUUGAAACACGGACCAAGGAGUCUAGCACGGCUGCGAGUCGAAGGGUGUAAAACCCAUGGGCGCAGUGAAAGCGAAUUCAUAAGCAAAUUGGGGAGGCGUGGAGUUUUUAACAAAAUGUCCUACCUUGAGCAUUUGUGCUGGGACCCGAAAGAUGGUGAACUAUGCCGGAGUAGGGCAAAGCCAGAGGAAACUCUGGUGGAGGCUCGUAGCGAUGCUGACGUGCAAAUCGCUCGUCGAACUUGGGUAUAGGGGCGAAAGACUAAUCGAACCAUCUAGUAGCUGGUUCCCUCCGAAGUUUCUCUCAGGAUAGCGGGCCGACAUAUGUUGUUUUGUGCGGUAAAGCGAAUGAUUAGUGCAUUUGGGGUCUGAUAGACUUCGGGCGAUUCUCAAACUUUAAAUGCGCAAGGGGGUGGCUGCUUAAUUGAGCCUACUCUUUGAAAAACGUCGGCCCUGUGGGCCACUUUUGGUAAGCAGAACUGGCGAUAAGGGAUGAACCUUAAGCGCGGUUAAGGCGCCGCAUUGCCCGCUUAUAGACCCCACAAAAGGUGUUGAUUCAUUUAGACAGCAGGACGGUGGCCAUGGAAGUCGGAAUCCGCUAAGGAGUGUGUAACAACUCACCUGCCGAAUGAAUUAGCCCUGAAAAUGGAUGGCGCUUAAGCGGGCAGCCGACACCGCGCCGUUCCGGCGAGACGAUGCCGGGAUGAGUAGGAGGGCGUGGCGGUCAGUGACGCAGGCGAGGGUGCAGACCCCGCUGAAACGGCCGCUAGUGCAGAUCUUGGUGGUAGUAGCAAAUAUUCAAGCGAGAUCCUUGAAGGGCGAAGCGGGGAAGGGUUCCACGCAAACAUUGAUUGGGCGUGGGUGAGUCGUUCCUAAGCCGAGUGGCAAUUGCUAAGUAGCGGCGAAAGGGAAGCGGGUUAAAAUUCCCGCACACGGAUAUGGAGGCGGCGACGCAAGCAGAGGUAAAUACGCUGGCGAGGGCGCUGGGCAGAGUUGUCUUUUCUGUUUGACCGGCAUCGCGCUGUGUGGAAUCCGCUUAUCGGGAGAAACACGCGCGGG
This 1542-nucleotide ribosomal RNA is filed under the name Trichogloea herveyi. RNAcentral's name for it is "eukaryotic LSU rRNA". It matches the Rfam family "Eukaryotic large subunit ribosomal RNA", at positions 82 to 1753 of the family's 3401-position model. Lineage: Eukaryota; Rhodophyta; Florideophyceae; Nemaliales; Liagoraceae. The record is from RNAcentral.